Molecule: long non-coding RNA, 944 nt
Filed under: Elaeis guineensis (African oil palm)
Lineage: Eukaryota; Viridiplantae; Streptophyta; Magnoliopsida; Arecales; Arecaceae
Description: long non-coding RNA (EGUI_LNC008626)
Source: RNAcentral
CUAGGGUGAAGGAAAAACAAGUUCAACUAGGCGGUAGUGCCCAAUUGAUCAGGUUGAUCCAAAUAAGGUGAACUCAAUUGGUUAAAAUUAGCUAUGAUUUAGAUAACUCAAUAGAGAUCAAUGGUGACAAAAUUCUAAAGAUACCGAUAAGGAUCGAGGUGGUCACUAUGCUGCCCAAGUACCAUGAUGGCUCAGGACCUCCUCAUUAGGGUCAACUUGAAUCCAUAGCAAAAUGAGAUUGGACUUUAAACUGAGAUCACUAGGCCAGCUUAGAGAGAGAAAGAAAAUAAGAGAGAGAUGAAUCCUCUCUCUCUCUCUCUCUCUUCUUUUCUCCUACUUAUUUUCUUUCUUUUGAAAACAAAAAAAAAAAAAAAGGAAAGGAGGGAGGAGGUGGACAAUGGCUGUGUUCAUGGUGGCCAACAUUGGAGGGCAGGCAACAUGUUGCGGUGUUAGGUGGUAGAGAGCAGCCGGCAGCGAUGAUCAACUGGUGAUUACAAAGGAAAAAGACCAAAAAAAUUGGGAUUUUUCUUGGCUUCAAUGGAUUCAUUUCCCAACAUAAUCGCCAGCGACCGGAUCUCUGGGCCGAGAGCCUUGGCGAUGAAUACCAGCGGAGGUGGAUGCGAAAUAGAGAACUUUCUUGGGCCAUUUUCGACCAAUUUACCGGUAGAAUCCGAUCAAAAACUAUACAAUGGAGAAAGGAAAAGGCCGAAGGAGGAGGAUCAUGGCUUACCUUGGGCUCCGAUGGCGUCUACAGCUCAAUAUUCUAGUGGGCAUAAGAAUGGGAGGCCAUGAACUUUAAUGGAAGAAAGAGGAAGAAAAAGAGACGAAGGGGUGCAUUGCUCAGUGAUGGAGGAUCACAGAAGGGAAGGGAGGCCUUUAUACAGAAUAGAGGCUAGGGAUUCCUAGCCUCCAGCGGAGUCCAAGGAGGAGGAGGGCUCUUCCGC